AGUGAACGCUGGCGGUAUGCCUAACACAUGCAAGUCGAACGGCAGCACAGGAAGAGCUUUCUCUUACGGGUGGCGAGUGGCGGACGGGUGAGGAAUACAUCGGAAUCUACUUUUUCGGGGGGGAUAACGGAGGGAAACUGACGCUAAUACCUCAUACAACCUACGGGUGAAAGCAGGGGAGCUUCGGACCUUGCGCGAUUGAAUUAGCCGAUGUCGGCUUGGCUAGUUGGCGGGGUAAAGGCCCACCCAGGCCACGAACCGUAGCUGGUCCGAGAGGAUGAUCCGCCCCACCGGAACUGAGACACGGUCCCGACUCCCAAGGGAGGCCGCCGUGGGGAAUACUGGCCCAUUGGCCCAAGCCUGAUCCAGCCAUCUCGCGUGGGUGAAGAAGGCCUUCGGGUUCUAAAGCCCUUUUGUUUGGAAAGAAACGCAGCAGGUUAAUACCCCGCUGUUCUGACGGUACCCUAAGCAUAAGCCCCGGCUAACUUCGUG
This 492-nucleotide ribosomal RNA is filed under the name uncultured bacterium. RNAcentral describes it as "partial 16S ribosomal RNA". It matches the Rfam family "Bacterial small subunit ribosomal RNA", at positions 29 to 507 of the family's 1533-position model. The record is from RNAcentral.